GCCUUCGUGGUGUAGUGGUCAGCACUCUCGAUGCGUAACCCAGAGGUUUCGUGGUUCGAUUCCCGGCGAGGACA
This 74-nucleotide transfer RNA is filed under the name Stegodyphus mimosarum. It matches the Rfam family "tRNA". Rfam says of the family: Transfer RNA (tRNA) molecules are approximately 80 nucleotides in length. Their secondary structure includes four short double-helical elements and three loops (D, anti-codon, and T loops). Further hydrogen bonds mediate the characteristic L-shaped molecular structure. tRNAs have two regions of fundamental functional importance: the anti-codon, which is responsible for specific mRNA codon recognition, and the 3' end, to which the tRNAs corresponding amino acid is attached (by aminoacyl-tRNA synthetases). tRNAs cope with the degeneracy of the genetic code in two manners: having more than one tRNA (with a specific anti-codon) for a particular amino acid; and 'wobble' base-pairing, i.e. permitting non-standard base-pairing at the 3rd anti-codon position. Lineage: Eukaryota; Metazoa; Arthropoda; Arachnida; Araneae; Eresidae. The record is from Rfam by way of RNAcentral.